UGGGGAAUAUUGCACAAUGGGCGCAAGCCUGAUGCAGCCAUGCCGCGUGUAUGAAGAAGGCCUUUGGGUUGUAAAGUACUUUCAGCGGGGAGGAAGGUGUUGUGGUUAAUAACCGCAGCAAUUGACGUUACCCGCAGAAGAAGCACCGGCUAACUCCGUGCCAGCAGCCGCGGUAAUACGGAGGGUGCAAGCGUUAAUCGGAAUUACUGGGCGUAAAGCGCACGCAGGCGGUCUGUCAAGUCGGAUGUGAAAUCCCCGGGCUCAACCUGGGAACUGCAUUCGAAACUGGCAGGCUAGAGUCUUGUAGAGGGGGGUAGAAUUCCAGGUGUAGCGGUGAAAUGCGUAGAGAUCUGGAGGAAUACCGGUGGCGAAGGCGGCCCCCUGGGCAAAGACUGACGCUCAGGUGCGAAAGCGUGGGGAGCAAACA
RNAcentral lists this ribosomal RNA (427 nucleotides) under uncultured bacterium. RNAcentral describes it as "partial 16S ribosomal RNA". It matches the Rfam family "Bacterial small subunit ribosomal RNA", at positions 355 to 774 of the family's 1533-position model. The record is from RNAcentral.